CAGGUUACAGCCUUUUGAAGUACUAAAUUCACGUGAUUAACAAAACGGGAGCUCUUAGAAUAUGCUCAGUACAAUUUGUGUUUUUAACACAGUUAUGCCUUCUCAUAGGUCCCUUCGAUGGAAUCCACAUUAAAAGUCACAAUUAUUUAUUGCCCUGGAAAAACUCCAGAAGAACAUUGCCAGACAUCUAUGGCUGCACAGCAGACAGGCUAAAACACAGAAACAUCCAACAGAGGAUAUUGGAACAAUGCCAUGACAAUUACGGCCUCAAACCAGCAACAUGCCAGUUUCCAGUAAGGCUUUCUGAAGCUUUAGACCCCCCUGGCUGCUGAGAUGCUCUGGCAGAAAGCUAGUACUGGUGACUGCCAGCCCCCCUCGGUGUUGAAUAGCAAACAAGAGCGCUGAAGCUUGUGUCACGCACAGAGCCAUAGGUCGAUGGACUCUGUACCGAAGAAGAGCACCCAAAAAAGCCAAACUUCACAGGGCCACCCCUCCCCUUCCUGGCUGUAAGAGCAAUAACUCAUCGGCUGACGAGCCUUUGUCUCGGUGACAGCUGUGUAGGCCGCAGAGCCUCAGGGAGCCACGCCAAGAACCCGCCAUGGGAAGCAAGCCACCAGCAUCACUCUUGGAGAUUUAUCCCCCCUCGGCACUGGAGGUCAGAAAGUCACCCCCACUCUGCGCACUGCAGGCAGAAAUCCCACCGGGGAUCUGUUAUGGCUUCUGGUUUGCUUGGCUAUUCAAAAGCCAGUUUCUAGACUUCCAUCCAUGUCUGUGUCAUGUCAGUUUCAGUAAAGGAGAAUGUGGAAACGCUACACGUUUCAUAUAGAAUUAAGUGUUGUCUAUAUGUG
Molecule: long non-coding RNA, 848 nt
Filed under: Scleropages formosus (Asian bonytongue)
Lineage: Eukaryota; Metazoa; Chordata; Actinopteri; Osteoglossiformes; Osteoglossidae
Description: lncRNA (ENSSFOG00015029879.1)
Source: RNAcentral